This 230-nucleotide long non-coding RNA is filed under the name Phaseolus vulgaris (common bean). RNAcentral's name for it is "long non-coding RNA (PVUL_LNC000370)". Lineage: Eukaryota; Viridiplantae; Streptophyta; Magnoliopsida; Fabales; Fabaceae. The record is from RNAcentral.
AACAUCAACCACCACAACUGGAAGACACAUAAAAAAAACUUUUUCACAUAUAAUUAACAAUUAUAAUGUUAAAAUAUAAUUAUCCACAUCAACAUAUGUAAUCAUUUGAAUUUUUUGUUUUGCAUUAUGACAAACAACAAACAUUAACCACACAGCAAACAAUACACCACGCCUUCAACACUACCGAGACAAAAUGGGGAAACUGAAGAGUAGAAACGAAUGAAUAAACC